Molecule: unclassified non-coding RNA, 244 nt
Filed under: Pithomyces sp.
Lineage: Eukaryota; Fungi; Ascomycota; Dothideomycetes; Pleosporales; Astrosphaeriellaceae
Also listed under: 3 other names
Description: partial contains 5.8S ribosomal RNA, internal transcribed spacer 2, and large subunit ribosomal RNA
Rfam family: 5.8S ribosomal RNA (bases 1-52)
Source: RNAcentral
AACGCACAUUGCGCCCCUCGGUAUUCCGGGGGGCAUGCCUGUUCGAGCGUCAUUGCACCCCUCAAGCGUAGCUUGGUAUUGGGCCCUCGCCUCCCCCGGCGUGCCCGAAAAGCAUUGGCGGCCCGCGGUGGUUUCAAGCGUAGUAAUUUUCUCCCGCUCUGCAAACCUCAUCGUGGGCUCGCCAGCAACCCCACACUUUCAAUGAAUUGACCUCGGAUCAGGUAGGGAUACCCGCUGAACUUAA